RNAcentral lists this ribosomal RNA (2538 nucleotides) under Klebsiella grimontii. RNAcentral describes it as "23S ribosomal RNA (partial)". It matches the Rfam family "Bacterial large subunit ribosomal RNA", at positions 409 to 2925 of the family's 2925-position model. The record is from RNAcentral. Lineage: Bacteria; Pseudomonadati; Pseudomonadota; Gammaproteobacteria; Enterobacterales; Enterobacteriaceae.
AGAGUAGGGCGGGACACGUGGUAUCCUGUCUGAAUAUGGGGGGACCAUCCUCCAAGGCUAAAUACUCCUGACUGACCGAUAGUGAACCAGUACCGUGAGGGAAAGGCGAAAAGAACCCCGGCGAGGGGAGUGAAAAAGAACCUGAAACCGUGUACGUACAAGCAGUAGGAGCCCACUUGUUGGGUGACUGCGUACCUUUUGUAUAAUGGGUCAGCGACUUAUAUUCUGUAGCAAGGUUAACCGUAUAGGGGAGCCGCAGGGAAACCGAGUCUUAACUGGGCGUUAAGUUGCAGGGUAUAGACCCGAAACCCGGUGAUCUAGCCAUGGGCAGGUUGAAGGUUGGGUAACACUAACUGGAGGACCGAACCGACUAAUGUUGAAAAAUUAGCGGAUGACUUGUGGCUGGGGGUGAAAGGCCAAUCAAACCGGGAGAUAGCUGGUUCUCCCCGAAAGCUAUUUAGGUAGCGCCUCGUGAACUCAUCUUCGGGGGUAGAGCACUGUUUCGGCUAGGGGGUCAUCCCGACUUACCAACCCGAUGCAAACUACGAAUACCGAAGAAUGUUAUCACGGGAGACACACGGCGGGUGCUAACGUCCGUCGUGAAGAGGGAAACAACCCAGACCGCCAGCUAAGGUCCCAAAGUCAUGGUUAAGUGGGAAACGAUGUGGGAAGGCCCAGACAGCCAGGAUGUUGGCUUAGAAGCAGCCAUCAUUUAAAGAAAGCGUAAUAGCUCACUGGUCGAGUCGGCCUGCGCGGAAGAUGUAACGGGGCUAAACCAUGCACCGAAGCUGCGGCAGCGACGCUUAUGCGUUGUUGGGUAGGGGAGCGUUCUGUAAGCCGUUGAAGGUGGCCUGUGAGGGUUGCUGGAGGUAUCAGAAGUGCGAAUGCUGACAUAAGUAACGAUAAUGCGGGUGAAAAACCCGCACGCCGGAAGACCAAGGGUUCCUGUCCAACGUUAAUCGGGGCAGGGUGAGUCGACCCCUAAGGCGAGGCCGAAAGGCGUAGUCGAUGGGAAACAGGUUAAUAUUCCUGUACUUGGUGUUACUGCGAAGGGGGGACGGAGAAGGCUAUGUUGGCCGGGCGACGGUUGUCCCGGUUUAAGCAUGUAGGCGGAUGUUCCAGGUAAAUCCGGAACGUUUUAACGCUGAGGUGUGAUGACGAGGCACUACGGUGCUGAAGUGACAAAUGCCCUGCUUCCAGGAAAAGCCUCUAAGCAUCAGGUAACAUCAAAUCGUACCCCAAACCGACACAGGUGGUCAGGUAGAGAAUACCAAGGCGCUUGAGAGAACUCGGGUGAAGGAACUAGGCAAAAUGGUGCCGUAACUUCGGGAGAAGGCACGCUGAUAUGUAGGUGAAGUGGUUUACCCAUGGAGCUGAAAUCAGUCGAAGAUACCAGCUGGCUGCAACUGUUUAUUAAAAACACAGCACUGUGCAAACACGAAAGUGGACGUAUACGGUGUGACGCCUGCCCGGUGCCGGAAGGUUAAUUGAUGGGGUUAUCCGUAAGGAGAAGCUCUUGAUCGAAGCCCCGGUAAACGGCGGCCGUAACUAUAACGGUCCUAAGGUAGCGAAAUUCCUUGUCGGGUAAGUUCCGACCUGCACGAAUGGCGUAAUGAUGGCCAGGCUGUCUCCACCCGAGACUCAGUGAAAUUGAACUCGCUGUGAAGAUGCAGUGUACCCGCGGCAAGACGGAAAGACCCCGUGAACCUUUACUAUAGCUUGACACUGAACACUGGUCCUUGAUGUGUAGGAUAGGUGGGAGGCUUUGAAGUGUGGACGCCAGUCUGCAUGGAGCCAUCCUUGAAAUACCACCCUUUAAUGGCUGGUGUUCUAACGUGGGCCCGUAAUCCGGGUUGCGGACAGUGUCUGGUGGGUAGUUUGACUGGGGCGGUCUCCUCCUAAAGAGUAACGGAGGAGCACGAAGGUCAGCUAAUCCUGGUCGGACAUCAGGAGGUUAGUGCAAUGGCAUAAGCUGGCUUGACUGCGAGCGUGACGGCGCGAGCAGGUGCGAAAGCAGGUCAUAGUGAUCCGGUGGUUCUGAAUGGAAGGGCCAUCGCUCAACGGAUAAAAGGUACUCCGGGGAUAACAGGCUGAUACCGCCCAAGAGUUCAUAUCGACGGCGGUGUUUGGCACCUCGAUGUCGGCUCAUCACAUCCUGGGGCUGAAGUAGGUCCCAAGGGUAUGGCUGUUCGCCAUUUAAAGUGGUACGCGAGCUGGGUUUAGAACGUCGUGAGACAGUUCGGUCCCUAUCUGCCGUGGGCGCUGGAGAAUUGAGGGGGGCUGCUCCUAGUACGAGAGGACCGGAGUGGACGCAUCACUGGUGUUCGGGUUGUCAUGCCAAUGGCAUUGCCCGGUAGCUAAAUGCGGAAGAGAUAAGUGCUGAAAGCAUCUAAGUACGAAACUUGCCCCGAGAUGAGUUCUCCCUGACUCCUUGAGAGUCCUGAAGGAACGUUGAAGACGACGACGUUGAUAGGCCGGGUGUGUAAGCGCAGCGAUGCGUUGAGCUAACCGGUACUAAUGAACCGUGAGGCUUAACCU